UCAAUUUUCCGGUGGCGAUUC
Molecule: non-coding RNA, 21 nt
Filed under: Caenorhabditis elegans
Lineage: Eukaryota; Metazoa; Nematoda; Chromadorea; Rhabditida; Rhabditidae
Source: RNAcentral